AGUUAGUUUGACAGUGUAAAUAUUUUCAUGCAGUAACACUUACUGUAACAGUUCACAUUGACAUUUUUAUGACAAUACAAGUUCUCUUGAAAGUUUUGGAUUAUUUGCAGUUCGUUAGUCAUUUUGGGAUGGUGAUGUUAUUAUCAAGGUCGUGCUGAGGUAAAUGAGGUGAGGUAGAAGUAUGAGUCAUUUGACAGUUAUCCUCUUCACCGGCUUGGGCUAUCGGUCACGUCUCUGUUACGCACUGUUGGCAAUUACUGGGUAUGCACCAGCUCCUGAAUGUACCUGAACCCACUCCAGUGUUGGUCAAGUCUUGUCUUGAAAGAGCUUACACUCGGUGCCGUCACAACACUUUCUCGUAGAUUGUUCCAAGAGUUCACAACUUUCACUCCGAAAAGUUUGCCCUCACAGUUUUCUGGACCUAUGAGGAAAUAUCAGCUGGCCAAUUUCAGAGUGACUACAACUGGAACCAGAGUGACAGGUGCUGUGUUGUGGCAAGCUAUGAAUAAUGGAGUGUGGAGAGGCUGAUUCAAUUACCAUCAUUUCCAGGGUACACCACCGAUUUUCCGGGAACUGAUGGUCCGGCACCUCCUU
Molecule: long non-coding RNA, 594 nt
Organism: Homarus americanus (American lobster)
Lineage: Eukaryota; Metazoa; Arthropoda; Malacostraca; Decapoda; Nephropidae
Exons: 3
Source: RefSeq, a predicted model, not a curated record